GGGGCAGAUCGGAUUUGACAGCGGGCAGAAGAGGUAUGUAAGCACGCCGAGCGAUGUUGUCAGGCUCGUUAAUAACGGACUUCAAAUCAUAACUGGCGAAAAUCAAUUUGCUCUCGCUGCGUAGUCGAAGUAUAGUACACUACCUUAAUUGCUCCAAAGUGGAGCAACGAGACAUCACACAAAAGCCCAUUUCCUGAGGCUCAUUGAGAUUGUGGUGCGGUCAAAUCGGGGAUAGUUGCAGGGGAGUUUCGACCUUGUGAUGAAAUUUUAGAAACUAAGGUGUAAAUGGGUGGCUCUGGUCUUGUUUGCACUCGAAAACCAAAGGCAGAGAUAAAUGUGUAGAAAGCAUAUUGCUUCCUCGUUUGGACGGGGGUUCAAAUCCCCCCUGCUCCACAA
Molecule: transfer-messenger RNA, 396 nt
Filed under: Porphyromonadaceae bacterium
Lineage: Bacteria; Pseudomonadati; Bacteroidota; Bacteroidia; Bacteroidales; Porphyromonadaceae
Rfam family: transfer-messenger RNA
About the family: Bacterial tmRNA, also known as 10Sa RNA or SsrA, is named for its dual tRNA and mRNA-like properties.
Source: RNAcentral